RNAcentral lists this ribosomal RNA (496 nucleotides) under uncultured bacterium. Its description in RNAcentral is "partial 16S ribosomal RNA". It matches the Rfam family "Bacterial small subunit ribosomal RNA", at positions 29 to 507 of the family's 1533-position model. The record is from RNAcentral.
AUGAACGCUGGCGGCGUGCCUAAUACAUGCCAGUCGCGCGAACAGACGAGGAGCUUGCUCCUCUGACGUUAGCGGCGGACGGGUGAGUAACACGUGGAUAACCUACCUAUAAGACUGGGAUAACUUCGGGAAACCGGAGCUAAUACCGGAUAAUAUAUUGAACCGCAUGGUUCAAUAGUGAAAGACGGUUUUGCUGUCACUUAUAGAUGGAUCCGCGCCGCCUUAGCUAGUUGGUAAGGUAACGGCUUACCAAGGCAACGAUGCGUAGCCGAACUGAGAGGGUGAUCCGCCACACUGGAACUGAGACACGGUCCAGACUCCUACGGGAGGGAGCAGUAGGGAAUCUUCCGCAAUGGGCGAAAGCCUGACGGGGCAACGCCGCGUGAGUGAUGAAGGUCUUCGGAUCGUAAAACUCUGUUAUUAGGGAAGAACAAAUGUGUAAGUAACUAUGCACGUCUUGACGGUACCUAAUCAGAAAGCCACGGCUAACUACGUG